CCUCCUGCCGCCGCCUCUCCCCCUCCCCCUGCCUCUCUCUCUGGUUUCAAGUCCCAACCUGACAUCAUCUACUGUAAGAACUCCAAGCCGCAAAUUGAGCACUUCUUCAAGCUCUUCUGAUUGCCUUCUCAUCCGUCAACAAUUGCAGGUGCCGUUUAAACGUACAGCUCCAUGAUAUCACCAGCUCCAUAUUUGCUAAUAUCUUAGGGAGGAAUGCUAAAAAACUAUUCUCGAUCACGGCUUUACAACUCAUGCAAAAACACUAACCAGGUCAAGCGUGAUAUUGUGCUGAGAGUGCUUGUGCUUUGGUCUCUCCUUUUUCGGUUCUCAUUGUCAUUUGAUAUAGCUUGCUGCUUUGUUCAAUGAUUGUAGCUAAUAUGUAAGGGUUAAUUGCAUAUACUCUCUGUGGUAUCGUUUUUAAAUUGCAACCCCUGUAGUGUACACUUUUGCAGAUGUGCCCUUGGGUUAAAAUUGUGACUGUUUUACCCUUGGACUUACUAAUUUCUAGCUGAAGUCAAACAAAAGGAUAUUGGUUGUGCUUUGGUCUCA
Asparagus officinalis (garden asparagus) is the source of this 549-nucleotide long non-coding RNA. RefSeq lists it as uncharacterized. The transcript is spliced from 4 exons. The record is from RefSeq and is a predicted model, not a curated record. NCBI's taxonomy places the organism in Eukaryota, Viridiplantae, Streptophyta, Magnoliopsida, Asparagales, Asparagaceae.